Molecule: ribosomal RNA, 706 nt
Filed under: Leucothoe bise
Lineage: Eukaryota; Metazoa; Arthropoda; Malacostraca; Amphipoda; Leucothoidae
Description: partial 18S ribosomal RNA
Rfam family: Eukaryotic small subunit ribosomal RNA
Source: RNAcentral
AUACGAACGAGACUCUAUCCUACUAAGCGGCGAGGCUAUUAGACGGCUGGAUCCUUGAAACACGUGUGUACAAAUAGACAGUGAAGGUCAACGCGGAGGAGCAAUCCAACGCUGCUUCACUUCGAGCACACAAGUCCGCCGUGGCUGCGCGUGGGUUGGUGUGCCUGUUGUCGAGGACGGAGUUCCUCUGCUUUCGCUUCGCGUUGGUACGUUCUCCUAUCCUUGGCUUCGAGGCGCGCUUUCUUGCGCGUAGACAAACGUUGUUUCUUCUUAGAGGUAUUGACGACUCUACAUAAGUCGUACGAGACAGAGAGCAAUAACAGGUCUGUGAUGCCCUUAGAUGCCCUGGGCCGCACGCGAGCUACAAUGCCGGGUACAGCGGGUGUAAUGUCCUUCUCCGAGAGGAGCGGGUAACCCUCUGAAAGCCCUUCUGAUGUACGGCGCACUUCGCGUGCGUACGCGCAUCGCGGCUCGAUUGGGCCUGGGGCUUGCAAUUAUCUCCCACAAACGAGGAAUGCCUUGUAUUGGCUAGUCACUGAGCUUGCAGCGACUCAGUCCCUGCCCUUUGUACACACCGCCCGUCGCUACUACCGAUUGAGUGUACCAGUGAGAUUCUUGGACUGGCGAACCUUCUCUCUUGGCUUACUCUUGAGAGAGGGCGACCGACGGGAAGAGACCCGAACUGGUGCACUUAGAGGAAGUAAAA